Molecule: ribosomal RNA, 253 nt
Filed under: uncultured bacterium
Lineage: Bacteria
Description: partial 16S ribosomal RNA
Rfam family: Bacterial small subunit ribosomal RNA
Source: RNAcentral
UACGUAGGGACCAAGCGUUGUUCGGAUUUACUGGGCGUAAAGGGCGCGUAGGCGGUGCGGUAAGUCACUUGUGAAAUCUCUGAGCUUAACUCAGAACGGCCAAGUGAUACUGCAGUACUAGAGUGCAGAAGGGGCAAUCAGAAUUCUUGGUGUAGCGGUGAAAUGCGUAGAUAUCAAGAGGAAUACCUGAGGUGAAGACGGGUUGCUAGGCUGACACUGACGCUGAGGCGCGAAAGCGUGGGGAGCGAACAGG